RNAcentral lists this ribosomal RNA (559 nucleotides) under uncultured soil bacterium. RNAcentral's name for it is "bacterial SSU rRNA". It matches the Rfam family "Bacterial small subunit ribosomal RNA", at positions 35 to 573 of the family's 1533-position model. The record is from RNAcentral.
GCUGGCGGCGUGCCUCAGACAUGCAAGUCGAACGCGAAAGGCCCCUUCGGGGGCCGAGUAGAGUGGCGCACGGGUGAGUAACACGUAGGUAAUCUACCUCUGGGUGGGGAAUAACGAUCGGAAACGGUCGCUAAUACCGCAUAAUGCAGCGGCACCACAUGGUGACAGUUGUUAAAGCGGGGGAUCGUAAGACCUCGCGCCUAGAGAUGAGCCUGCGGCGGAUUAGCUAGUUGGCAGGGUAACGGCCUACCAAGGCGACGAUCCGUAGCCGGCCUGAGAGGGCGGACGGCCACACUGGCACUGACAUACGGGCCAGACUCCUACGGGAGGCAGCAGUCGGGAAUUUUGGGCAAUGGGCGAAAGCCUGACCCAGCAACGCCGCGUGAAGGAUGAAGCUUUUCGGAGUGUAAACUUCAUAAGAAUGGGACGAAUAAGGAGGGGUUAACACCCCCUUUGAUGACGGUACCAUUUGUAAGCUCCGGCUAACUCCGUGCCAGCAGCCGCGGUAAUACGGGGGGAGCAAGCGUUGUUCGGAUUUACUGGGCGUAAAGGGCGCGUA